RNAcentral lists this ribosomal RNA (769 nucleotides) under Vibrio cyclitrophicus ZF99. RNAcentral's name for it is "bacterial LSU rRNA". It matches the Rfam family "Bacterial large subunit ribosomal RNA", at positions 2181 to 2925 of the family's 2925-position model. The record is from RNAcentral. Lineage: Bacteria; Pseudomonadati; Pseudomonadota; Gammaproteobacteria; Vibrionales; Vibrionaceae.
UGGAGUCGUCCUUGAAAUACCACCCUUGUAGUUUUGAUGUUCUAACGUUGGUCCCUGAAUCGGGAUUACGGACAGUGCCUGGUGGGUAGUUUGACUGGGGCGGUCUCCUCCCAAAGAGUAACGGAGGAGCACGAAGGUGGGCUAAACACGGUUGGACAUCGUGUGGUUAGUGCAAUGGCAUAAGCCCGCUUGACUGCGAGAAUGACAAUUCGAGCAGGUGCGAAAGCAGGUCAUAGUGAUCCGGUGGUUCUGAAUGGAAGGGCCAUCGCUCAACGGGUAAAAGGUACUCCGGGGAUAACAGGCUGAUACCGCCCAAGAGUUCAUAUCGACGGCGGUGUUUGGCACCUCGAUGUCGGCUCAUCACAUCCUGGGGCUGAAGUCGGUCCCAAGGGUAUGGCUGUUCGCCAUUUAAAGUGGUACGCGAGCUGGGUUUAGAACGUCGUGAGACAGUUCGGUCCCUAUCUGCCGUGGGCGUUGGAAAAUUGAAAGGGGCUGCUCCUAGUACGAGAGGACCGGAGUGGACGAACCUCUGGUGUUCGGGUUGUCAUGCCAAUGGCAUUGCCCGGUAGCUAAGUUCGGAAUCGAUAACCGCUGAAAGCAUCUAAGCGGGAAGCGAGCCUUGAGAUGAGUUUUCCCUGGCACUAUAAGUGUCCUAAAGGGUUGUCGUAGACUACGACGUUGAUAGGCAGGGUGUGUAAGUGCUGCGAGGCAUUGAGCUAACCUGUACUAAUUGCCCGUGAGGCUUAACCAUACAACACCCAAGGGGUUU